This 422-nucleotide ribosomal RNA is filed under the name uncultured bacterium. RNAcentral's name for it is "bacterial SSU rRNA". It matches the Rfam family "Bacterial small subunit ribosomal RNA", at positions 355 to 774 of the family's 1533-position model. The record is from RNAcentral.
UAAGGAAUAUUGGACAAUGGAGGCAACUCUGAUCCAGCCAUGCCGCGUGAAGGAAUAAGGCCCUAUGGGUUGUAAACUUCUUUUAGACGGGACAAAACCCCUUUACGUGUAAAGGGUUGAUGGUACUGUCAGAAUAAGCAUCGGCUAACUUCGUUCCAGCAGCCGCGGUAAUACGAAGGAUGCAAGCGUUAUCCGGAAUUAUUGGGUUUAAAGGGUGCGUAGGCGGACUAAUAAGUCAGUGGUGAAAGCCUGCAGCUUAACUGCAGAAGUGCCAUUGAUACUGUUAGUCUUGAGUACAGUUGAGGUAGGCGGAAUGUGUCAUGUAGCGGUGAAAUGCUUAGAUAUGACACAGAACACCGAUUGCGAAGGCAGCUUGCUAAGCUGUAACUGACGCUGAGGCACGAAAGCGUGGGGAGCAAACA